CUGGUGGAUGGCUCGGCUCAGGCCGACGAAGGACGUGCCAAGCUGCGAUAAGCUGUGGGGAUCCGAACGGAGGCGAAGAACCACAGAUCCCGAAUGGGUAUCCUCUAACAAUUGCAUCGCGCAAUGAGGAACCCCGGGAACUGAAACAUCUCAGUACCGGGAGGAACAGAAAACGCACCUUGAUCUCGUUGACGGCGGUCGACCGCGAUAUAAAAAUAUCGGACAGAAUAUAUAUUCUGUAGUAUAUGUCUAUACUAUCUCAAUAUCGCUCCGGAGUCUCAAUAGAGCGUGAUACCGGAAGCCAACCCCGUAUGAAGGCAAUCCCGAGAUUGCUCCAGAGUAGCGGGGGUUGGAUAUCCCUCGUGAAUCUCGCAGGCAUCGACUGCGAAGACUAAACACUCCUCGAGACCGAUAGCGAACAAGUAGCGCGAGCGAACGCUGAAAAGCACCCCAGAAGGGCGGUGCAAUAGGGCCUGAAAUCAGUCAGUGAUAGAGCGACGGGGCAUACAAGGUCCUCGGAAAAACGACCGUGGGGCGACCCACCAGUAGGAAUCCGAGGAAGCCGGUGUUCCGUCGUACGUUUUGAAAAACGAACCAGGGAGUGCACUUACUUGGCGAGUCUAACUGGAUCAUCCAGGAAGGCGCAUGGAAACCGACAACGCCGCAGGCAUUGACCCGAGCGGUGAACUUCCGUCGAGUCCGCUUGCCCCGCCGACAUCCCCACGAGGAUUUGAGUGGGAGUAACGUGUAGAUAGAGGAAUGAGCCAGUCUGAUCGGUUCCGAUUCGAGUACAACCCUGCUGGUGCUACUACGGUGCCGGUUGCGUCGAUAGCCUUUCAGCCGAGCAACAGCUGGCUGGGAUCUGAAACAUGUCGAAGAUGACCUCCGCCAGGUAUCUGUGACGUAGAGCGACCGAGAGGAGUGCGCCUCACGAUGACGAGACGACGCACCCUCGUCGAUAGGCACCCUGUUAAAGACUGUCUCCGGUGCGCGGGGUUUCUGAGGGUGAGCGCUGGGGUAAGCCUGUGUACCAGGAGGGGAACAACCCAGAGAUAGGUUAAGGUCCCCAAGUGUGGAUUAAGUGUAAUCCUCUGAAGGUGGUCUAUAUCACACACUCUCCGAGUCGCCCUUAAAACACCUACACCACCAACGAUACAACGCACAAAAAGCCACUAACGGCGCUGUGCUAGCACCUCCUCAACUAGAGUUCACCUCAAACAGCAUCAGUACAGCCAGAGGACCCUAAACCCCUAGAGCGCAACCCACAGACCCACCGAGGACCUGUAAUGGUGCACGGAACGCUUCGUAGGUGAAGCGGCGAGAGCUCCUGUGGACCGAUUAGUGACGAAAAUCCUGGCCAUAGUAGCAGCGAUAGUCGGGUGAGAACCCCGACGGCCUAAUGGAUAAGGGUUCCUCAGCACUGCUGAUCAGCUGAGGGUUAGCCGGUCCUAAGUCUCACCGCAACUCGACUGAGACGAAAUGGGAAACAGGUUAAUAUUCCUGUGCCUUCACUUCUAGGUGUUCUUUUCUUUCGAUAUCCCACCCUGGUCUCGGAUUCUCCGGCGUUCGUCGUAUCCGACGAACGGCGAGCGAAGCGUGAGACAGCGCAAGUUGAAGGUACCUAGAGCCCGUGAAAAGCGAGCGUGAUGAUCGUACCGAGAUCCGACACAGGUACUCUGGCGGAGAAAGCCAAGGUCUGUCGGGAUCAACCGACGUUAGGGAAUUCGGCAAGUUAGUCCCGUAAGUUCGCGAUAAGGGAUGCCUGCUCUUGAACCGAGCAGGUCGCAGUGACUCGGAAGCUCCACUGUCUGAACAUAGCUGACCCCAACAUCCGCAAGGACUCUACGCGUCACUGAAACCUGAACACUGCAGGUAUCAGCAACACCUCGUACAAGAGGACGAAGCCCGACCUCGUAAACGGCCGGGCUAACGAUGACCCUCUAACGUAGCGUAGUACCUUGCCGCACAGUACGUAUUAUGGGUACGAUUUAGCGACCAAGAUUCCGGUGAGUUCACCAGCCGCUCCUGCGGGCGGUUGGAGCUUUACUGCACACAUUCCGCCGAUUUUCCCGAGAUACCCAGGGGGAAGCGAAGACCCUAUGGAGCUCUCGGAUCACGAUGACGUAUACGGAGCACUCACCGACACCGAGAAUGGACAGGUCAUUCGAAUUCGCAGUUGCGGUGUCCACGAAACAGUACAGAUACCGGCCGUCGGUGACUGCGUGUAUCACUACUCGAUGGCGGUAGACCGUUCCGUGGCAUAAUGACUGGGGCGGUACGCGCUCGAAAAGAAUAUUCAACACGUACGGUCAGCACGGAAGCGACCCGGCGACGACGUGCCGAGUCGUGCCGAACUUCCUCUCACAGGCCAUCUCGGGAGAUGACUUGACAGUCUACGGCGACGGAAAUUAGCGUCUGCUUCGGUGCGGGCAAUUGAUGACAGAAAAGCUACCCUAGGGAUAUCAGAGUCGUCACCGGCAAGAGCACAUAUCGACCCGGUGGCUUGCAACCUCGAUGUCGGUUCCCCGCUCUCGCAGUCGCUGCUCGGUGCAGAAGCAGGCAAGCGUCAAAGCCGUACACCUAGGUAAAGCGAGGUCAUAGAACUGGCAGUAGACCGUCGUGGGACAAAGUUCCGGUCUGACAAGAACGAAACUCGAAAGUAUCGUGUACCCACGUCUGACAAGAACGAUCGUACACUACGAGAGGAACUACGGUUGGUGGCCACUGGUGUACCGGUUGUUCGAUUGAGCACGUGCCGGGUAGCCACGCGACACGGGGUAAGAGCUGAACGCAUCUAAGCUCGAAACCCACCUGGAAAAGAAGUACCACCGAGGACACUCGUAGAAGACGAGUUCGAUAGACUCGGGAUGUA
This 2872-nucleotide ribosomal RNA is filed under the name Halogeometricum sp. wsp3. RNAcentral describes it as "bacterial LSU rRNA". It matches the Rfam family "Archaeal large subunit ribosomal RNA". Lineage: Archaea; Methanobacteriati; Methanobacteriota; Halobacteria; Halobacteriales; Haloferacaceae. The record is from RNAcentral.